GACGAACGCUGGCGGCGUGCCUAACACAUGCAAGUCGAGCGGGAGACUUCGGUCUCUAGCGGCGGACGGGUGAGUAACACGUGGGUAACCUGCCUUGUAGAGGGGGAUAGCCUUCCGAAAGGAAGAUUAAUACCGCAUAACAUUAUGCUGUCGCAUGACAGUGUAAUCAAAGGAGCAAUCCGCUACAAGAUGGACCCGCGGCGCAUUAGCUAGUUGGUGAGGUAACGGCUCACCAAGGCAACGAUGCGUAGCCGGCCUGAGAGGGUGAACGGCCACAUUGGAACUGAGACACGGUCCAGACUCCUACGGGAGGCUG
RNAcentral lists this ribosomal RNA (316 nucleotides) under uncultured Bacillota bacterium. Its description in RNAcentral is "bacterial SSU rRNA". It matches the Rfam family "Bacterial small subunit ribosomal RNA", at positions 28 to 351 of the family's 1533-position model. Lineage: Bacteria; Bacillati; Bacillota. The record is from RNAcentral.